CGAACCAAUUUUUUUUUUUUAAAAAUCAAAAGUGGGCCGGGUUGGGUUGACUCGUUUUUAAAGUGGGUUAAGGUAGGUCGCCCCACAUGGGCCAGGCUGGUCCAUUUUGAGAGCUCUAACAAAAGCACUCUGUUCAGCUAACACUAGCAUUGAGAGAUGAAAGCCAGGGGAGCAAAUGGGAUUAAAUACCCUAGUAGUCCUAUUCAUAAACGAUGGAUACUAGGCAUUGCGCAUAUUGACCCGUGCAAUAUUGUAACCAACGCGUCAAGUAUCUCAUUUGAGGAGUAUGUCCGCAAGAAUGAAACUUAAAGGAAUUCACAAGGACCUUAAUUAAAAAAUAUUUGAGGUAACUCAUGGAAGUUUUCUCGAACAUAAAAAAAAAUAUUUU
Cajanus cajan (pigeon pea) is the source of this 388-nucleotide non-coding RNA. NCBI's taxonomy places the organism in Eukaryota, Viridiplantae, Streptophyta, Magnoliopsida, Fabales, Fabaceae. The record is from Rfam.